Long non-coding RNA from Oreochromis niloticus (Nile tilapia), 902 nucleotides. RefSeq lists it as uncharacterized. The transcript is spliced from 2 exons. Lineage: Eukaryota; Metazoa; Chordata; Actinopteri; Cichliformes; Cichlidae. The record is from RefSeq and is a predicted model, not a curated record.
AAAGUAGGUGUGAAGUCAGAGUAGAGAGAAAAAAAUUAAGUGGAACAGACUAGAGUGCAAAAGCCUCAUCAGCUGAUGAUGACUAAAGACUUCUGGAACAACAUCCUUUGGAUUAAUGCGACCAAAGGCCUAACUGUGGAUGUUCUUCAUAUGUAUUGCAACAGCAAACAAACCAGUCUCCAUCGAUGAACACGGACAAUACCCAAAGCAGACCAAUGCAAACUGCCUUCGUAAUUUGUAAACACAAAACCAAGAAAAGUUUGCACCCGCAUUUGCAACAACAACAAGAACAAGAACAACAGGUGCAUGUAGGACAUGUGCAUGUACCACAUGUGUAUUUCCAGACUCUCUUGAAUGGCUCGUCUGUCCAGAGUUGUAAAGCACAUAAAAUUAAAAAAGGUAGAACCAAGUAGAAGGAGCAGGUUGUUAUGUCAGCAUCGCAAGUGCAGUUUAAAUCCUCGUCAAGCACAUAAUUGUGAACAAAAAUCACAAUCAUUGCGACAUACGUGCUGUAUUGUUUGAUGGCAAAUUUUGGGAAGAAGGUCUUCAUCUUGGGUGCUGAGGUUAGCUUCUGCUGAGAGCUGCAAACUUAAACUGAAUAUAUUCUGAGAGGAAACUGUUCUCUUCCUGUACACAGAAGAAUAACUGCAGCCUCUUUUAUCUUCCUGGGUUUUGAUCUUGAAAAGUUCUUGCAGUAUUUUUUUUUUAUUUCUCUGAAUACUUCUUCUGUCUUUUGUUCCUCUUUUUUUAAAAAAGCUUCUAAAUUACAAACUAUUGAAGAAAUCAGCCAGAUAACACUGCAGCUUCAAAGAGUGAACAAGAUGUAGCACAGAGUAAAACCUGUUGAAAACAUGUUUUUCUGACCACCUUUGACCCAGUCCUUCAAAUCUCAGUAGAAAGAA